AGCGAACGCUGGCGGCAUGCCUAACACAUGCAAGUCGCACGGGGGGGCUUCGGCCUCCCAGUGGCGGACGGGUGAGGAACGCGUAGGGACCUGUCGAGGGGUGGGGGAUAACCGCGGGAAACUGCGGCUAAUACCGCAUGACGCCGCGGCGUGACAGCCGGGGCCAAAGGCGAAAGCCGCCCGCCGAGGGGCCUGCGUCCGAUUAGCUGGUUGGCGGGGUAGCGGCCCACCAAGGCGUCGAUCGGUAGCUGGUCUGAGAGGGUGAUCAGCCACACCGGGACUGAGACACGGCCCGGACUCCUACGGGAGGGAGCAGUGGGGGAUAUUGGACAAUGGGCGCAAGCCUGAUCCAGCAAGGCCGCGUGGGUGAAGAAGGUCUUCGGAUUGUAAAGCCCCUUCGGCGGGGACGAUGGUGACGGUACCCGCAGAAGAAGCCCCGGCUAACUUCGUG
Molecule: ribosomal RNA, 451 nt
Filed under: uncultured bacterium
Lineage: Bacteria
Description: partial 16S ribosomal RNA
Rfam family: Bacterial small subunit ribosomal RNA
Source: RNAcentral